AAAUUUUCCCUCCUGCGGGUUUGUGAGACCAACGAGGGUGCCAGCGAACCCCCAGCAGCUUCCGCGGGCCUCUGCUUGGUACCCGCCGGGCGGUCCCCCACCUUCCUCUGCGCUCUCGCGGUCAGUGACCCCCGCUGGACAUCGUGUGUUUGCUCAGUGGUUGGUGGUGGAGGUGAGCGGUUGCGACCUAGGAGGGCUCCUUCGAGCCUGGCAGACCCCGUGUCCAGACAGGGGAGGGGAGGCCACGAGAGGCAGACAGCCUCCCUGAGGGCGCACAGCUGGUGCGCGAGGGGCACUGCGCCCCUUACCCUGGAGCAGGGGACCUCCUUGGGCUUGACCCCGUGGGCGUGGCCCCACAUGGGCGUGUUCUCUCGUGGGCGUGGCCGCCCGUGGGUGUGGCCCCUCUUGGGCGUGGCUCCAGUGGGCGUGGUCUCCCGUGGGCGUUACCCUGUAGGGAAGCCGAGGGCCCUCCUCCCUGGGCACAUCCCAGGGUGGGUUCCCUGUGGCCGCUGCUUGCCUGCCCACAGAGNGGACAGGCGGAGGACUGGGUGGGGAAGGGGCUGGGUCAGCGGGAGAGCGGGCAGCCUCCAUGGGCCUCCUAAGAAGUAAGAGUGCUGGGAAUUCCCCCAAAUUGGUCCCUUCUUGUAUUAGUCAGAGGACCCCGCUGAGACCACCGCAGCAAAGGGGACACUCACUGCCUUACAAGGGGAGGGGAGGGCAGCCCCCGCCCGGCCCGGGCCGGGGCCCGCGGGCCCCCCCCCCCCCCCCCCCCCCCCC
Molecule: long non-coding RNA, 777 nt
Filed under: Ovis aries (sheep)
Lineage: Eukaryota; Metazoa; Chordata; Mammalia; Artiodactyla; Bovidae
Description: lncRNA (ENSOARG00000026629.1)
Source: RNAcentral